AUAGGAACAAAAAAUGCAUCAUCAUAAUAUGUAUAAGAAACUUAGUUUCUAUAGAACUAAACACACACAGCAGUUGUGGUUUUUUUACAAUUUAUUAUGGCUAACGCUUUCGGUAAACAAUUUUUUACCAUCUUCAGGCCUUCGACAAAGAACAUAUACAAUAACGGUUACGAAUUUACGAACAAACGAGCUAGAAUACAAAUUAUUGCCAUGGUAACGUUGAGAGUUAAUUAAUAAACAAAAAAAAUGAAAUUACUAAAAAUAACUAAACAACUAAAAUAACUUAAUAACUAAAAAUAACUAAAUAGCUAAAAUAAAUAAAUAUAGGUGCAUAUUGCGUAGUAUCGCUGCGGCGGAUUCUUCUCUGUGCGCAAAAAACAGUGUCCAAUACAGCGAAAAAUAUAUGGCUAUAUUGUGCUAGUAUAAUAGUUCAGAGUCUGUAUUAUUGGAAAGGGGGUGCGACUUUAGUCGUAGCGUUCAAAUAGGUGUGUUCUACUUCUUCUGUUCGGCAAGUGGAUAUUGCCAGGCAGGGGGAGAGGUGUGUUCUACUUCCUCUGUUCUAC
Molecule: long non-coding RNA, 563 nt
Filed under: Androctonus crassicauda
Lineage: Eukaryota; Metazoa; Arthropoda; Arachnida; Scorpiones; Buthidae
Source: RNAcentral